CCUACGGGAGGCAGCAGUGAGGAAUAUUGGUCAAUGGACGAGAGUCUGAACCAGCCAAGUAGCGUGAAGGAUGACUGCCCUAUGGGUUGUAAACUUCUUUUAUAUGGGAAUAAAAUGUUCCACGUGUGGGAUUUUGUAUGUACCAUAUGAAUAAGGAUCGGCUAACUCCGUGCCAGCAGCCGCGGUAAUACGGAGGAUCCGAGCGUUAUCCGGAUUUAUUGGGUUUAAAGGGAGCGUAGGUGGAUUGUUAAGUCAGUUGUGAAAGUUUGCGGCUCAACCGUAAAAUUGCAGUUGAAACUGGCAGUGGUGAGUACAGUAGAGGUGGGCGGAAUUCGUGGUGUAGCGGUGAGAUGCUUAGAUAUCGCGAAGAAGUGCGAGUGCGAAGGCAGCUCACUGGACUGCAACUGACACUGAGGCUCGAAAGUGUGGGUAUCAAACAGGAUUAGAUACCCUGGUAGUC
RNAcentral lists this ribosomal RNA (460 nucleotides) under uncultured bacterium. RNAcentral describes it as "partial 16S ribosomal RNA". It matches the Rfam family "Bacterial small subunit ribosomal RNA", at positions 338 to 795 of the family's 1533-position model. The record is from RNAcentral.